Molecule: ribosomal RNA, 400 nt
Filed under: uncultured bacterium
Lineage: Bacteria
Description: bacterial SSU rRNA
Rfam family: Bacterial small subunit ribosomal RNA
Source: RNAcentral
GGGGAAUAUUGCACAAUGGGGGAAACCCUGAUGCAGCGACGCCGCGUGAGUGAAGAAGGUCUUCGGAUCGUAAAACUCUGUCCUUGGUGAAGAAAAAUGACGGUAGCCAAGGAGGAAGCCCCGGCUAACUACGUGCCAGCAGCCGCGGUAAUACGUAGGGGGCGAGCGUUGUCCGGAUUUACUGGGCGUAAAGGGUGAGUAGGCGGUUAUAUAAGUCAGAUGUAAAAGGCUAUGGCUUAACCAUAGUUAGCAUUUGAAACUGUAUGACUUGAGUGCAGGAGAGGUAAGCGGAAUUCCUAGUGUAGCGGUGAAAUGCGUAGAUAUUAGGAGGAACACCAGUGGCGAAGGCGGCUUACUGGACUGUAACUGACGCUGAGUCACGAAAGCGUGGGUAGCAAAC